UGGGGAAUAUUGGACAAUGGGCGCAAGCCUGAUCCAGCAAUACCGCGUGUGUGAAGAAGGCCUGAGGGUUGUAAAGCACUUUCAAUAGGGAGGAAAAAGCGUUGGCGAAUACCCGAUGCCUUGACAUUACCUAUAGAAGAAGCACCGGCUAACUCCGUGCCAGCAGCCGCGGUAAUACGGAGGGUGCGAGCGUUAAUCGGAAUUACUGGGCGUAAAGCGUGCGUAGGCGG
This 230-nucleotide ribosomal RNA is filed under the name uncultured Methylomicrobium sp. RNAcentral describes it as "partial 16S ribosomal RNA". It matches the Rfam family "Bacterial small subunit ribosomal RNA", at positions 355 to 578 of the family's 1533-position model. The record is from RNAcentral. Lineage: Bacteria; Pseudomonadati; Pseudomonadota; Gammaproteobacteria; Methylococcales; Methylococcaceae.